Molecule: unclassified non-coding RNA, 256 nt
Filed under: uncultured Hypocreales
Lineage: Eukaryota; Fungi; Ascomycota; Sordariomycetes; Hypocreales
Also listed under: 1 other name
Description: sequence contains 5.8S rRNA gene, ITS2, 28S rRNA gene
Rfam family: 5.8S ribosomal RNA (bases 1-52)
Source: RNAcentral
AACGCACAUUGCGCCCACCAGUACUCUGGUGGGCAUGCCUGUCCGAGCGUCAUUUCAACCCUCAGGGCCCGUUCGCGGGACCUGGUGUUGGGGAUCGGCCCCACCGGCCGGCCCCGAAAUACAGUGGCGGCACACCCGCGACCUCCUCUGCGUAGUAGCAAUGCCUCGCAGCUGGAUAGCGGUUGCGCCUCGCCGUAAAACCCCCCACUUCUCAAUGGUUGACCUCGGAUCAGGUAGGAAUACCCGCUGAACUUAA